This 400-nucleotide ribosomal RNA is filed under the name uncultured bacterium. RNAcentral's name for it is "bacterial SSU rRNA". It matches the Rfam family "Bacterial small subunit ribosomal RNA", at positions 356 to 773 of the family's 1533-position model. The record is from RNAcentral.
GGGGAAUAUUGCGCAAUGGGGGAAACCCUGACGCAGCAACGCCGCGUGCGGGAUGGAGGCCUUCGGGUUGUAAACCGCUUUCAGCAGGGAAGAACAAGGACGGUACCUGCAGAAGAAGCUCCGGCUAAAUACGUGCCAGCAGCCGCGGUAAUUCGUAUGGAGCGAGCGUUAUCCGGAUUCAUUGGGCGUAAAGCGCGCGCAGGCGGCUCGUUAAGUCGGGUGUCAAAGCCCGGGGCUCAACCCCGGCCCGCACCCGAUACUGGCGGGCUCGAGUUCGGUAGAGGAGGGUGGAAUUCCCAGUGUAGCGGUGAAAUGCGCAGAUAUUGGGAGGAACACCGAUGGCGAAGGCAGCCCUCUGGGCCGCAACUGACGCUGAGGCGCGAAAGCUGGGGGAGCGAAC